GAUGGACGCUGGCGGCGUGCUUAACACAUGCAAGUCGAACGGUGAAGGCGGAGCUUGCUCUGCUGGAUCAGUGGCGAACGGGUGAGUAACACGUGAGCAAUCUGCCCCUGACUCUGGGAUAAGCGCUGGAAACGGCGUCUAAUACUGGAUACGAGCUGCAAAGGCAUCUUCCGCAGCUGGAAAGAACUUCGGUCAGGGAUGAGCUCGCGGCCUAUCAGCUUGUUGGUGAGGUAACGGCUCACCAAGGCGUCGACGGGUAGCCGGCCUGAGAGGGUGACCGGCCACACUGGGACUGAGACACGGCCCAGACUCCUACGGGAGGCAGCAGUGGGGAAUAUUGCACAAUGGGCGAAAGCCUGAUGCAGCAACGCCGCGUGAGGGACGACGGCCUUCGGGUUGUAAACCUCUUUUAGCAGGGAAGAAGCGAAAGUGACGGUACCUGCAGAAAAAGCGCCGGCUAACUACGUG
RNAcentral lists this ribosomal RNA (468 nucleotides) under uncultured bacterium. Its description in RNAcentral is "partial 16S ribosomal RNA". It matches the Rfam family "Bacterial small subunit ribosomal RNA", at positions 28 to 507 of the family's 1533-position model. The record is from RNAcentral.